This 247-nucleotide long non-coding RNA is filed under the name Elaeis guineensis (African oil palm). Its description in RNAcentral is "long non-coding RNA (EGUI_LNC017151)". Lineage: Eukaryota; Viridiplantae; Streptophyta; Magnoliopsida; Arecales; Arecaceae. The record is from RNAcentral.
GCUACAUAUUUCUAUCCUGCUUUAUUAUUUGGACCAAGAUUCUCAAUCUUGGUAGACCAUGGACAGGUAAUAUUCUGAUACAGUAUCAGUGCACCUAGUACGAGAGUCGAUUUGACAUACUGAGAUUCAUUAAGCCCUCUGUACCAAGUCUUGGUCGGUAUGGUACAUCCAGUACAGGGUGGUACACAACAGUAUGAUGAACCUUGAUUUGGAUAGUUACCAUACAACAUCAAUUUAUAACCAGGAG